RNAcentral lists this ribosomal RNA (868 nucleotides) under Staphylococcus epidermidis. RNAcentral describes it as "bacterial SSU rRNA". It matches the Rfam family "Bacterial small subunit ribosomal RNA", at positions 25 to 874 of the family's 1533-position model. Lineage: Bacteria; Bacillati; Bacillota; Bacilli; Caryophanales; Staphylococcaceae. The record is from RNAcentral.
CAGGAUGAACGCUGGCGGCGUGCCUAAUACAUGCAAGUCGAGCGAACAGACGAGGAGCUUGCUCCUCUGACGUUAGCGGCGGACGGGUGAGUAACACGUGGAUAACCUACCUAUAAGACUGGGAUAACUUCGGGAAACCGGAGCUAAUACCGGAUAAUAUAUUGAACCGCAUGGUUCAAUAGUGAAAGACGGUUUUGCUGUCACUUAUAGAUGGAUCCGCGCCGCAUUAGCUAGUUGGUAAGGUAACGGCUUACCAAGGCAACGAUGCGUAGCCGACCUGAGAGGGUGAUCGGCCACACUGGAACUGAGACACGGUCCAGACUCCUACGGGAGGCAGCAGUAGGGAAUCUUCCGCAAUGGGCGAAAGCCUGACGGAGCAACGCCGCGUGAGUGAUGAAGGUCUUCGGAUCGUAAAACUCUGUUAUUAGGGAAGAACAAAUGUGUAAGUAACUAUGCACGUCUUGACGGUACCUAAUCAGAAAGCCACGGCUAACUACGUGCCAGCAGCCGCGGUAAUACGUAGGUGGCAAGCGUUAUCCGGAAUUAUUGGGCGUAAAGCGCGCGUAGGCGGUUUUUUAAGUCUGAUGUGAAAGCCCACGGCUCAACCGUGGAGGGUCAUUGGAAACUGGAAAACUUGAGUGCAGAAGAGGAAAGUGGAAUUCCAUGUGUAGCGGUGAAAUGCGCAGAGAUAUGGAGGAACACCAGUGGCGAAGGCGACUUUCUGGUCUGUAACUGACGCUGAUGUGCGAAAGCGUGGGGAUCAAACAGGAUUAGAUACCCUGGUAGUCCACGCCGUAAACGAUGAGUGCUAAGUGUUAGGGGGUUUCCGCCCCUUAGUGCUGCAGCUAACGCAUUAAGCACUCCGCCU